RNAcentral lists this ribosomal RNA (250 nucleotides) under uncultured bacterium. Its description in RNAcentral is "partial 16S ribosomal RNA". It matches the Rfam family "Bacterial small subunit ribosomal RNA", at positions 524 to 771 of the family's 1533-position model. The record is from RNAcentral.
UACGUAGGGUGCGAGCGUUAAUCGGAAUUACUGGGCGUAAAGCGUGCGCAGGCGGUUUUGUAAGCCAGAUGUGAAAUCCCCGGGCUCAACCUGGGAAUGGCAUUUGGGACUGCAAGGCUGGAGUGCGGCAGAGGAGACUGGGAAUUCCUGGUGUAGCAGUGAAAUGCGUAGAUAUCAGGAGGAAUACCGAUGGCGAAGGCAGGUCUCUGGGCUGACACUGACGCUCAUGCACGAAAGCCGUGGGGAGCGA